Molecule: long non-coding RNA, 286 nt
Filed under: Hordeum vulgare
Lineage: Eukaryota; Viridiplantae; Streptophyta; Magnoliopsida; Poales; Poaceae
Description: long non-coding RNA (HVUL_LNC018219)
Source: RNAcentral
GCCGAUAUAUAUACACGUACAGGUGAUGGACUAUAUGCAGGAAAACCCCUUAUAUAUUGGGAUAAAUACAAAAGGGGUACAUGACUUGUAUUAUAACUCUAACACCCCCCCUCAAACUCAUGGUGGAUGAACAACACUGAGUUUGGAGAGAUAAAAGCCAUGUUGUGCUCUAGUCUGGGCCUUCGUCAGGAAAUCCGCCAGCUGUAACUCGGAAGGCACAUACUGAAGAGCAACAACCUGAUCCUGCACAGCAGCGCGCACAUAGAAAGCAUCAACACCAAUAUGC